RNAcentral lists this long non-coding RNA (409 nucleotides) under Nicotiana benthamiana. Its description in RNAcentral is "long non-coding RNA (NBEN_LNC008667)". The record is from RNAcentral. Lineage: Eukaryota; Viridiplantae; Streptophyta; Magnoliopsida; Solanales; Solanaceae.
UACCUGAUGGCUGACCUUGCAUGUGAGAAGCUCCUUGUUGUGGCAUGAAUGAAGGUGGUGGAUGACCUUGCCUUUGCAGUGAUCCUUGUCCAGCCAUGAAAGAGUGUGGUGGAGCUCCUUGUUGCGGCACAAAAGAAGGUGGUGAGGACUGCUGCACAUUUCUUGCAAAAGCCGAUGGCUGACCUUGCAUCUGCUGUGAUCUUUGUCCAUCCAUGAAGGAUGGUGGUGAAGCUCCUUGUUGACCUUGCAUCUGCUGGCACAAAAGAAGGUGAUGAGAACUGCUGCACGUUUCUUGCAAAAGCUGAUGGCUGACCUUGCAUCUGCUGUGAUCUUUGUUCAUCCAUGAAGGACGGAGGUGAAGCUCCUUUUUGACCUUGCAUCUGCUGUGAUCUUUGUCCACUCAUGAAAG